GUUUAAAAUGGAAAUGUACUCCAUUGCAACUUUUCCUAGUUUUAUACUUUCAGAUUCAUGAAGACACUGAAAAGUGAUGAAUCCACAUAACCAUGACACUGGAAAUGAAGUUUGAGUGGCAGUCGGAAUCUAGGAGGAAGCAUUGCUAAGUAAAAAUUUUAUGGAGCUUGACUAAAAAUCCCUGUCAGGGACCAUCAAAAGUUCAGUCCGUGACAUGAAAAAUCUUGCUGGAAGUUGAGAGAAGUUUCUGCCUACUCCAUGAUCCAGGAACACAAGACCUUUACCAACCAGAAAAGUGGAUAGCUGUUCUUCUGCUGGGAAGGUUAAAAAAGAAAGCCAGAAGUGCCAAGCAAUUAAUACCCUCAGAAGCAAGCCUUACCCAAGGAUUAAAUAAAGUGGAUGAUUACAUACCCAAGCUCCUUCAACUCCCAGGGGCAUAAUUCUGAGGUUGACCACUGCUAUUGCCAUAACUCUGGUCCUGCUGUCUACGCAUACUACUGUUGUGACUUCCAGAAGGUGGGACUUGAUAAACCACGCACACUUCCAGUGUUUGGUCAGGGUGACCCUGGGUGCUGCAAGGAUGGACAGUGCUGUUGGCAAGAGAUGACUCUGGUCAGAUUAGAUAAAGACCAUUUAGGGACAUGGAGAUA
RNAcentral lists this long non-coding RNA (650 nucleotides) under Callithrix jacchus (white-tufted-ear marmoset). RNAcentral's name for it is "lncRNA (ENSCJAG00000065151.2)". The record is from RNAcentral. Lineage: Eukaryota; Metazoa; Chordata; Mammalia; Primates; Cebidae.